GGAGCUGAAGGCAGCAAGACUGGGACAGAAGAAAGACUAUAUCCAUUAGUAAGAAAAGAUGAAGGCCCUAAUCCUGAUUACGGUUGUCUUGACCAUAACUGCUUGCUUCUCUCCAGCUGAAGGACGUAAGAGGAGACACCAUGGAAAACACCAUGAUGACACACACAAUCCAGGACGUGGCGAUCCUUUCAGAGGGCCUAGAGGACCAUGGGGUCCCAGAGGACCACACGGUCCUGGAGGACGUCCUGGUCCAACUCCUCCAGGUGGUUUUUUUGGGACACCAGGUUCACCUGAUGCACAUGAAAGAGAUGGGCAAGGACUGUUCUUCCCACCAGAGAAAUGUGUAAGCAUUUGUCCUCAUGGCCCUGCAAAUGGAGCUCCUGGGAACCCUCCUGGAUCCUCUAUUGCCCCUCCACCUCCCGCUCCCAUCUCCACCAUCACAGCUGUCACCGGGCCUAAAACCACUCCGGCUGCCAAUCCUGAAAGUACAGAUAUUACAGCAACAGCAAUAUACACAGUUACUUAGUUCUGAAUUCACAGAAGGAAAACGUCAAGGCAGGAAAUGAUCAUGCUGAUUAUGAAUACCGUGUGCAUAUCAGCUGACUAUUAAAAAUAAAUCAACGCUCUCUGACUCGAUGGGAAAUAAG
This 647-nucleotide long non-coding RNA is filed under the name Vombatus ursinus (common wombat). RNAcentral describes it as "lncRNA (ENSVURG00010009010.1)". The record is from RNAcentral. Lineage: Eukaryota; Metazoa; Chordata; Mammalia; Diprotodontia; Vombatidae.